RNAcentral lists this unclassified non-coding RNA (208 nucleotides) under soil metagenome. RNAcentral's name for it is "partial contains 5.8S ribosomal RNA, internal transcribed spacer 2, and large subunit ribosomal RNA". The record is from RNAcentral.
AACCAUUCUCACCUGCGGCUAGACCUGCGGAGGGAUCAUUACCGAGUUUACAACUCCCAAACCCCUGUGAACAUACCUAUACGUUGCCUCGGCGGAUCAGCCCGCGCCCUGUAAAACGGGACGGCCCGCCCGAGGACCCUAAACUCUGUUUUUAGUGGAACUUCUGAGUAAAACAAACAAAUAAAUCAAAACUUUUAGCAACGGAUCU